This is a long non-coding RNA of Microtus oregoni (creeping vole), 1637 nucleotides long. RefSeq lists it as uncharacterized. Lineage: Eukaryota; Metazoa; Chordata; Mammalia; Rodentia; Cricetidae. The record is from RefSeq and is a predicted model, not a curated record. The transcript is spliced from 3 exons.
GCUCUGCGGCAGCUCGCGCGGCGUAGGGAUUUUUCUCCUGUAGGUGGCGCGGCUGCGUCGCUCUUGAAGAAAGUCUCCGGAGUUUUGUUAGAGGGAUUCUCAGGUUGAGUUAAGUUAAAACAGACGUGAGGUGUCGGAAAAGCACGAGUUCGGUUCUCCGGAAGAAUUGUCUCUGGCCGCCACCUGCAGAGAGACGCAAAGGCCCCAGAACGCUGAGGAGCCAAUCAGAUCGCACCAAAGCUAGAGACGUGAGGCAGCUGCAGAAGGAAAGAGGUGUCAAGCCUUGAAGUCGCUUGAGCAGCUGGCAGGAAUGGCAAAGCGUGGCUGGAGCCUAGAUCUGUCUGUGCUCAUGGUCCCGGGGACAUACACUGCCACUCUUCACAACGGCUACAGUGGUGUUUAUGUGUCCCUUCUGGAAGCAGGCCUCUGUCUUGGUCCACUGGUACAGAUAUAACUGACUUGUAGAUCGGCUGAGGUAAGAGGGGCACCCCAGUGUUCUCUCCUUUUUGUGGUGUUACAGGUACAGAGAGACCCACACUAUAUGAGGGAAAGACAUAUAUGUUUCAGGGAAAUGGGUGCUGGGUGCAGACUCCACCAAGAAAUGGAAAUUCACCAUUUUUUGGAGGCAAAAGAAAAAUCAGCUAUAUAUUUGUAUAUAUCAAAAUAAAAAUAGGAAGUAGCAGACAGACAACAAAACAUCAUCAAAUUGUGAGUUUUCAACAUUCAGCAGAGAUGACUAAAGGCGCUGCAUAAAGGCAGCUGGAAUCUCCCCCUGGAAAGUCCCGGGUGGAUCAGAGCGUCCUCCAAGAAGAACAAAUGCAAGCAGGAUACAACAGAUAAUACUAUCAGAUUGGACACUCACAGUCAUCCAUCAGAAAUGAUUCGGGAAGCCCUGCUGAGGCAACCAAGCUCACUGGAGACACCUGGCUGGAAAAAAGUGUCCUCUCGGGUGAGGCUUCCAAGGAAAAGAACAAAUGCAGGCGGCAGGCAGAUAACAACAAAGCUGGUGGAAGGGGCCACUGCUGCUUGAUCGAGAGUUCCAGCUGGGUAGAGGGCUCUCACCGUGGCCUUGAGUCGGCUCCUGCUUCCUGCUCCAGCCAUUUUUAUACCAUCAGUACGCUUCCAGCAGCGCCUCUGAUGGAAGUUGUGUACCUUCCAGUUGUUCACAAGGACACAAGGGUUUGUCACUGCUGUUAUUUUACAUUUCUUUAUUCUGAGGGUGGGGUGCAUAUACUAAACUUGUAGGUCAGCUCUCACCUUCUACCACCUAAGUCCUGGAUAUCAGACUUUUAUUUUUAUUUAUGUGUAUGUGUGUGCACUGUGUGUGCACAGAAGCCCUUGGAGGUCAGAAGAUCUGAUGGAAACUCUGGAACUAGAGUUACAGGUAGUUGUGAGCCACUGGGUGGUACCAGGAAUUGAACCCAGGUCCUCUGGAAGAGCAGAAAGUGCUCUUAAUCACUGAGCCAUCUCUCCAGUCCUCCUCUUGGACACAAUGUUUUUAAGUACACUUCUUACUGAUGUAGGAUUCCCCUCUGUAUUCUGUGAGUAUCGUUGGUUAAUAAAGGAACUGCUUUGGGCCUAUAACAGCUAUAGGGGAACAGAUCUAGGUGGGGAAAACUAAACAGAAUGCUGGGAGA